RNAcentral lists this long non-coding RNA (1198 nucleotides) under Bos indicus x Bos taurus (hybrid cattle). Its description in RNAcentral is "lncRNA (ENSBIXG00005015183.1)". Lineage: Eukaryota; Metazoa; Chordata; Mammalia; Artiodactyla; Bovidae. The record is from RNAcentral.
UUAGGCUCUUCAACCUGCUCUACUGAACAGUCAUCUCUAGGGCAGUAACAUGCUGUUUUAAUUACCAUUGCUUUGUGAUAAAGGCAGUGUAGUGUGACAGAGGCUUAAACACAGAUGCAUAGGUUAUGGAAGCAGGGUGUCUGCCUCACAUCCAUAAUCCCGCACUUCUAGCUGUGUGAUUCUGUUUAUCCUACAAAGCCUGCAUUUUCUUAUCUUGAAGUGGCGGCAAUAUUAGUAUCUGCAUCACAGGUAUGUUGUGAGCAUCAAAUUGCAUUAAUACAUGUAAAGCACUUCCUUAAGUGGUAAGGCUUCAGUCAAUGCAGCAUUUUAUUUAUUUACUUAUGCACAUAUUUAUUUACUUAUGCAUUCUUUCAUUUCAACAUCCAACAGGCCUAGUUUCUCUUACUUUCUUUCUUAUCAACAUUUUGUUGACUGUUCUGUCUUUACACUUCCACAGGAGACCUAGAAUCAGUGAAAAAGAAGAUUCUACUUGACAAAUAGAAGAUUCUAUUUGAAGACGACUGGAUUGAAUUUAAAGUAAAGAGAAUUCGACAAGGUUACAAUAUUUGCUUCUUUUCAUUCCAGAACUUUCCAGCUGGCCUCCUGGUCUUGCUCCUAACUUUGAUGCAAACGUUGGUCUCACUAAAAAGCAUAAUGCAGGAAGGAGGAUGCCCUGAGAGAGGUGUUCGCUUUCCCAUAAAGGAAAAAUCUGAAGGGAGAGCUUGUGAAGAGCGUAUCAGAAAAGCCUAGGCUGGUGUGUGCGCCGGCAAGGGGCUCCCGGGCCCCCUCCGCGCGGCCCACGCUCUGCUCUGCCCCAGGGGCUGAAGUUUCUCCCUGCGUUUCCGCUUGAACAGCAUCCAGCUGCCUCGCCUUUAAAAUGCCAGGACGGCCGCCGCUCCGCUCAGAGCCCCCUCUCGGCGGCUGGCCGGGUCUCGCCCGCGCCGCCGGGGCGCUGACUCAGCCGCAGCCCGCCCAGCCCGGCUUGGGCAGCGCCCCCCGCGCCACCGACCAGCACGCGCCGCAGCGAGCGCACCGGACUGCCUCGCCAGGUGCUGAAUGGCGGUCCCUGCAUGGACGUGGGGACCCAGAAGAUGGACAGUGUGCGGCAAUGCGCUCCCUCGAAGCCAGGCUCCUCCCACUCCCCAGAUGGUCCGGAGUAUCAGACUCCUCCAGCACCUAUGGCUCCCCACCAGGAUAG